CACAUCAAUCGCAUAUGGACAGAGAUCUGGAACAUACCAAGUCUGGUAGAGAAAGAAUGACACCAAGAUCGGACUUGGGAUCAUUUUGGGCUCCGGGCAGAAAGAAUAAUGAUGUGAGAGAAAAGGUUCAAGAUGGUCCUGUAUGGCUUUCUGACAACUUGAUGAACAUGACUUCAAAUAUGAAGUUUGGUCCUGGU
Hemiscyllium ocellatum (epaulette shark) is the source of this 197-nucleotide long non-coding RNA. RefSeq lists it as uncharacterized. The transcript is spliced from 3 exons. NCBI's taxonomy places the organism in Eukaryota, Metazoa, Chordata, Chondrichthyes, Orectolobiformes, Hemiscylliidae. The record is from RefSeq and is a predicted model, not a curated record.